ACUUUUGGUGAGUAAUGCCCACCAGCUAUAACAGUACGGCUUGAGAGGAGGGCCCGGAGAUGGUACUGAGACACGAACCCAGGCCCUAUGGGGCGCAGCAGGCGAGAAACCUUUGCAAUGUGCGAAAGCACGACAAGGUCAAUCCGAGUGUCUCCUGCUAAAGGAGUCUUUUGUCAGUUGUAGAAUCACUGGUGAAUAAGGGGUGGGCAAGUUCUGGUGUCAGCCGCCGCGGUAAAACCAGCACCUCGAGUGGUCAGGAGGUUUAUUGGGCCUAAAGCAUCCGUAGCCGGUUGCAUAAGUUUUCGGUUAAAUCUAUGCGCUUAACGUAUAGGCCGCCGAAAAUACUGUGCAGCUAGGGAGUGGGAGAGGUACACGGUACUCGAUAGGAAGGGGUAAAAUCCUUUGAUCUAUUGAAGACCACCUGUGGCGAAGGCGGUGUACCAGAACACGUUCGACGGUGAGGGAUGAAAGCUGGGGGAGCAAACCGGAUUAGAUACCCGGGUAGUCCCAGCUGUAAACGAUGCAGACUCGGUGAUGCAUUGGCUUGUGGCCAAUGCAGUGCCGCAGGGAAGCCGUUAAGUCUGCCGCCUGGGAAGUACGUACGCAAGUAUGAACUUAAAGGAUUGGCGGGGGAGCACCACAAGGGAUGAAGCUGCGGUUCAAUUGGAGUCAACGCCA
Molecule: ribosomal RNA, 678 nt
Filed under: uncultured archaeon
Lineage: Archaea
Description: bacterial SSU rRNA
Rfam family: Archaeal small subunit ribosomal RNA
Source: RNAcentral